GCUAGAUGGUAAAGCAUCUGCCUGCAAUGCAGGAGACCCGGGUUCGAUCCCUGG
Molecule: transfer RNA, 54 nt
Filed under: Bos taurus (domestic cattle)
Lineage: Eukaryota; Metazoa; Chordata; Mammalia; Artiodactyla; Bovidae
Rfam family: tRNA
About the family: Transfer RNA (tRNA) molecules are approximately 80 nucleotides in length. Their secondary structure includes four short double-helical elements and three loops (D, anti-codon, and T loops).
Source: Rfam by way of RNAcentral